Molecule: small nuclear RNA, 148 nt
Filed under: Oncorhynchus mykiss (rainbow trout)
Lineage: Eukaryota; Metazoa; Chordata; Actinopteri; Salmoniformes; Salmonidae
Description: U1 spliceosomal RNA (ENSOMYG00000056854.1)
Rfam family: U1 spliceosomal RNA
About the family: U1 is a small nuclear RNA (snRNA) component of the spliceosome (involved in pre-mRNA splicing).
Source: RNAcentral
AUACUUACCUGGCAAGGGAGACACCGUGAUCACGAAGGCGGUUCACCCAGGGCGAGGCUCAGCCAUUGCACUCCGGCUGUGCUGACCCCUGCGAAAUCUCGAUUGCAUAAUUUCUGGUAGUGGGGGACUGCGUUCGCGCUCUCCCCUG